CGCCCACGAGAAGUCCUGCAAGCGCGAGUUGGCUGUACGGGUGUGAGUAGCGGACAGGAGAAGGUUACGGGCAGAGCGUAGGGACCGAGAACGGGCAUACCUAUGGAUCUGUGAAGAGAUAUAAGAGGGGCUAGAAUUGUUCAGUGCUUUAUAUGUAUGGGUUAGCACUUUGAAUUGACUCCUAUAGGAUACAGGAAGCCAAUGUAAGGACUGACAGAGGGGUGAGGUGUGAG
Non-coding RNA from Pelobates cultripes (western spadefoot toad), 233 nucleotides. The record is from the annotation of a GenBank genome assembly. Lineage: Eukaryota; Metazoa; Chordata; Amphibia; Anura; Pelobatidae.